RNAcentral lists this ribosomal RNA (245 nucleotides) under uncultured bacterium. Its description in RNAcentral is "partial 16S ribosomal RNA". It matches the Rfam family "Bacterial small subunit ribosomal RNA", at positions 524 to 768 of the family's 1533-position model. The record is from RNAcentral.
UACGGAGGGGGCUAGCGUUGUUCGGAAUUACUGGGCGUAAAGCGCACGUAGGCGGCUUUGUAAGUUAGAGGUGAAAGCCCAGGGCUUAACCCUGGAAUUGCCUUUAAGACUGCAUCGCUAGAAUCGUGGAGAGGUGAGUGGAAUUCCGAGUGUAGAGGUGAAAUUCGUAGAUAUUCGGAAGAACACCAGUGGCGAAGGCGACUCACUGGACACGUAUUGACGCUGAGGUGCGAAAGCGUGGGGAG